UAGAGAUAUACCUUCCCUUCGGGGCAGCGGUGACAGGUGGUGCAUGGUUGUCGUCAGCUCGUGUCGUGAGAUGUUGGGUUCAGUCCCGCAACGAGCGCAACCCUUAUCUUUAGUUGCCAGCAGGUCAAGCUGGGCACUCUAGAGAGACAGCCGGUGAAAGCCGGAGGAAGGUGGGGAUGACGUCAAAUCAUCAUGCCCCUUAUGUCCUGGGCUACACACGUGCUACAAUGGCUGGUACAAUGGGAUGCGAUACCGCGAGGUGAAGCCAAUCCCAAAAAGCCAGUCUCAGUUCGGAUUGCAGGCUGCAACUCGCCUGCAUGAAGUCGGAAUCGCUAGUAAUCGCGGAUCAGCAUGCCGCGGUGAAUACGUUCCCGGGCCUUGUACACACCGCCCGUCACACCACGAGAGUUUGCAACACCCGAAGUCGGUGAGGGAACCUCACGGACCCAGCCGCCGAAGGUGGGGCAGAUGAUUGGGGUGAAGUCGUAACAAGGUAUCCCUACCGGAAGGUGGGGAUGGAUCACCUCCUUUCUACGGAG
RNAcentral lists this ribosomal RNA (539 nucleotides) under Thermoflavimicrobium daqui. Its description in RNAcentral is "bacterial SSU rRNA". It matches the Rfam family "Bacterial small subunit ribosomal RNA", at positions 1001 to 1533 of the family's 1533-position model. The record is from RNAcentral. Lineage: Bacteria; Bacillati; Bacillota; Bacilli; Caryophanales; Thermoactinomycetaceae.